This 72-nucleotide transfer RNA is filed under the name Thermoplasmatales archaeon SM1-50. Its description in RNAcentral is "tRNA-Gly". It matches the Rfam family "tRNA". From Rfam's summary of the family: Transfer RNA (tRNA) molecules are approximately 80 nucleotides in length. Their secondary structure includes four short double-helical elements and three loops (D, anti-codon, and T loops). RNAcentral also lists the same sequence under 6 other names. Lineage: Archaea; Methanobacteriati; Thermoplasmatota; Thermoplasmata; Thermoplasmatales. The record is from RNAcentral.
GCGGAUGUGAUCUAGUGGUUAUGAUUGAGGCCCUCCAAGCCUCUUGCCCGGGUUCGAAUCCCGGCGUCCGCA